RNAcentral lists this ribosomal RNA (229 nucleotides) under Clostridioides difficile. Its description in RNAcentral is "partial 23S ribosomal RNA". It matches the Rfam family "Bacterial large subunit ribosomal RNA", at positions 2650 to 2881 of the family's 2925-position model. Lineage: Bacteria; Bacillati; Bacillota; Clostridia; Peptostreptococcales; Peptostreptococcaceae. The record is from RNAcentral.
GGCGUAGGAAAUUUGAGAAGACCUGUCCUUAGUACGAGAGGACCGGGAUGGACGUACCUCUGGUGUACCAGUUGUCCUGCCAAGGGCAUGGCUGGGUAGCUAUGUACGGAAUGGAUAAGCGCUGAAAGCAUCUAAGCGCGAAGCCAACUUCAAGAUAAGAUUUCCCACCGCAAGGGUAAGACCCCAGAAAGACUAUCUGGUUGAUAGGUCGAAGGUGUAAGUGCAGCAA